AUUUUACUUGGUUUUUCUUGUAAAUUGUUAAGUCUUUUCCCCAUUUCUAUUCAAGGUCGGUAAGAGUAAUUCUCAGCGAAGAGACUUGCAAUCAGAGCUCCUAUUCCCCAGUGUUUUGAUGGUGUUCUUCCUCUGUUGCUUCUCUUACAGGUCAAAGUCAUUAGCCUGAAGGCCUUACACUUGGGGCAAGAAGACUAAACCACCUGACUUAUUUUUGUCACAACCCAAAGGAAAGAUGGGAAGGCGGAUGAGAAGGACUGAUAUUCAUUCCCCAGGCAGAAUUUGACAAGAAUAGAAGGAACUGUUUUCUUCAGAUGAUGAUCCAAGGAUGUGCAACAAAAAGAGCACAGCAUCGCUCUUCUCUGCUGGGGGACUGGCUGCCUCUGUGACUGCUCCAAGAGCCACACUAUAG
This 412-nucleotide long non-coding RNA is filed under the name Aotus nancymaae (Ma's night monkey). Its description in RNAcentral is "lncRNA (ENSANAG00000038793.1)". The record is from RNAcentral. Lineage: Eukaryota; Metazoa; Chordata; Mammalia; Primates; Aotidae.